Ictalurus punctatus (channel catfish) is the source of this 1756-nucleotide long non-coding RNA. RefSeq lists it as uncharacterized. NCBI's taxonomy places the organism in Eukaryota, Metazoa, Chordata, Actinopteri, Siluriformes, Ictaluridae. The transcript has 2 exons. The record is from RefSeq and is a predicted model, not a curated record.
CAUUGAUUACAACUGCUUUGUUCCUGGCUACCGUGGCAGUGGUGGGUCAGUAGUUAAAGGCUCUGGGUUACUGAUCAGAAGGUCAGUAGUUCAAGUCCCAGCACUGCCACAGCUGUGCAGUUGGAUAAAUGAGAUACAUUGAAAUUCUGAAUGAACUCUGGAGAGGAAACACACAGCCAUGACUUACUCGGCUGGAGGCAGAUGUCUGCAAAAUCAUAACAGCAGCUGUUACUGUUCACACACUGCUCAUCACAUCGACAGCCUGGAGUCUCAUAAUCAUACGGCGUAUAACAGCGGUUCCGACAUGUAUCUGGCACUGAGAGAGAGAGAGAGAGAGCACUAUUAUAGUCCAGUAGUGUAAUAAUACUAAAACGUGUGUAAUAGUUGUGUAAUAUAACUAUUAUAUAAUAUAACAUAAUGUAAUGUAUAAUAAAUGUAAUAAUGUAUAAUAUAUGUAAGAUAACAGAUCACAGGAUCAUCGACAUGCCUGCGGUUAAAUGAAAAUAACCGGUAGCACCGGUUUUAAUUUAUACAGCUUUCAGCUGUUAUAAUGGUACAAAUCAGGGCCGGCAAAUUCAUUUCUAAGUUAUAUUCUAAAUACAAGGGACAGUUAAACAAAAAUAAUGAUAAUAAACGGAUCUAACAUUAAUACUAGAACGCCAUUUACUUGUAUUACAUAAAAUAUGCUGUCGGGGCGUCGUAGCAAUUUUGGAUAUGUAUGCAAUAAUAUAUGCAUUUUAUAAUUAAAUAUAAUAUACUAAAAACUUGUAUGUCCUAAGACUGAUGUUGUACUGUAGAUAUACAGUAAGUUUAAACUGAAACUCUAAUUGAAACUCAUUACUAAUGACUGAAGUGUUCCUGUGCUGCUCCUCAGUAGUUAAUGAUGAUCUGGAACAGCAUGGUCAUUCAUCACUAAUUAGUAAUAACGGUAGUGUUUUGUUAUUUAUAAGUAUAUUAUUCAUGACCCUUCUGAAACUAUGUUCAUGGAGAAUAUUUGUUACUCAUCAAUACAUUACACCCUUUUUACUUGUUCGGUCAUUGAGGUCUCUUUAGUCCUAGACUGGCUGAAUAUAAACAAUACCCUUACCCUGUGCUUCUCGUCAGAGACAGUGUAAUACAUUUAAAUUUGAGAUAUGGAGGUAUUGGAAUAGGGUAAGGUAUAUAGAUAGUAGAUCUUCAGAAGGAAGGAAAUUGGAAAUGAAUUGCGAUGUGAUCAAAAAUGAAUCCGUAGCUAUUAUAAAAGAGAUAUCGUUAUCUAAUAGUUCUGCAGGAGAAAUGGAAGACUCAGUAAUUACUGAUUAGUUAAUAGUGAAGUCCUAGUAAGAUACUUACUUAUUUAGAAGUUCUCAGUAGUUAACAGAUUAACUGUUAGUGAAGAACUACUCAGUUUCUUUCUUAAAUAGAAAGCAGUCCAACUUGCUAUGUGUAUAGCAAUUACAUUAAAAUUUGUGUAGCCCUGACUUGAGGCUACAUCUGUUGUUUAUAGUUGGAGGUUGGUUUUGGUUCUAUUGCUGCUGUUUUGCACAAUAAUCUGUAAAUAUUGUGUAAAUACGUUUACAUAACCAGAAUAGAGGCCUAGUUCAUUACUUGACUGGUGUUUUGCAUAUCAUAAUAGUUUUCUAGAACUUUACAUUAUUUGGAUAAUUGGAUAAACAAAUCUGUUAAAUUUGAUUGUAACAGAACUGAAGGAACAAUGAUAUGUUUAAUAUUGCUUUUGUCUUGGUGUGUAAAUUUCAAUAAAAGUGUGAUCAUUUUA